RNAcentral lists this ribosomal RNA (462 nucleotides) under uncultured bacterium. Its description in RNAcentral is "partial 16S ribosomal RNA". It matches the Rfam family "Bacterial small subunit ribosomal RNA", at positions 28 to 507 of the family's 1533-position model. The record is from RNAcentral.
GACGAACGCUGGCGGCGUGCUUAACACAUGCAAGUCGAGCGGUAAGGCCUUUCGGGGUACACGAGCGGCGAACGGGUGAGUAACACGUGGGUGAUCUGCCCUGCACUUCGGGAUAAGCCUGGGAAACUGGGUCUAAUACCGGAUAUGACCUCCUAUCGCAUGGUGGGUGGUGGAAAGAUUUAUCGGUGCAGGAUGGGCCCGCGGCCUAUCAGCUUGUUGGUGGGGUAAUGGCCUACCAAGGCGACGACGGGUAGCCGACCUGAGAGGGUGACCGGCCACACUGGGACUGAGACACGGCCCAGACUCCUACGGGAGGCAGCAGUGGGGAAUAUUGCACAAUGGGCGAAAGCCUGAUGCAGCGACGCCGCGUGAGGGAUGACGGCCUUCGGGUUGUAAACCUCUUUCAGUAGGGACGAAGCGCAAGUGACGGUACCUGCAGAAGAAGCACCGGCUAACUACGUG